RNAcentral lists this ribosomal RNA (756 nucleotides) under Triticum aestivum (bread wheat). RNAcentral describes it as "partial small subunit ribosomal RNA". The record is from RNAcentral. Lineage: Eukaryota; Viridiplantae; Streptophyta; Magnoliopsida; Poales; Poaceae.
AUGGAUGCUUCACGAUGCGAAGUGCCUAUCGGCUUGCUCUGGAGGAUUGUCUUCUUCCUUCAUCAGUCGCGGCAAGCAGGGCCAUAUGGGCUUUUAUUUGGAUGUGCCCUGCUCCUCCUAAGAUGUUCGAGGGCGGUGGCGCUAUGGCAAGCCAUGGCCAAGCAAUGGAGGAUUCCAACGGCGGUGAGCUUCCGACGAAUGGGUACAGAGUGGCUUGCCCAAGCUCUCUGUGACCUGCCGGAGACGCAGCAGAUGGAGCUGAUGAUGACAUUAUGGAUCUGCUGGCACGUCCGGAAUGAGUUGACGCACGAUAAACCUGCACCCCUGAUGGAGGCAUCUCGACGUAUUCUGCUCGGCUAUGUUGACUCUUUGAUUGGCCUCCAGAACUCACCCAACUAUGACCCGGUGAAGGGGAAGCAGGUGGUGGAUUCAGUGCAGCCCAGAACACCUAUACUCCACCCACCUACAUCUUCAAGAGCUUCUGCGAGGUGGAUGUUGCCGGCGAUCGGUUGGAUGAAAUUGAACGUGGACGGCUCCUAUUGCCCAUGUAUAGGGACGGCGAUCGUCGGAAUGGUGCUGCGCGACAGUUCCAGGGCUAUCAUCUUCUCUUCGUGUCGAGUGUUGCGUGUGUGCGUGGACCCCCUGGAGGCCGAGCAUAGACAUCUUCUCUUCGUGUCGAAUGUUUUUUCUUAUGUUUGUUUUCGUUUUCAGUCUACAUUUUCGUAUAUGUCAAUAAUAGUUUUAAUAAGUGAUUAG